RNAcentral lists this transfer RNA (59 nucleotides) under Ictidomys tridecemlineatus (thirteen-lined ground squirrel). RNAcentral's name for it is "Spermophilus tridecemlineatus (thirteen-lined ground squirrel) tRNA". It matches the Rfam family "tRNA", at positions 7 to 64 of the family's 71-position model. From Rfam's summary of the family: Transfer RNA (tRNA) molecules are approximately 80 nucleotides in length. Their secondary structure includes four short double-helical elements and three loops (D, anti-codon, and T loops). Lineage: Eukaryota; Metazoa; Chordata; Mammalia; Rodentia; Sciuridae. The record is from Rfam by way of RNAcentral.
GUAGCUCAGUGACAGAGUGCUUGCCUAACAUGCAUAGAGCCCUGGGUUCAAUUCCCAGC